RNAcentral lists this transfer RNA (74 nucleotides) under Waddliaceae bacterium. RNAcentral describes it as "tRNA-Arg". It matches the Rfam family "tRNA". Rfam says of the family: Transfer RNA (tRNA) molecules are approximately 80 nucleotides in length. Their secondary structure includes four short double-helical elements and three loops (D, anti-codon, and T loops). The record is from RNAcentral. Lineage: Bacteria; Pseudomonadati; Chlamydiota; Chlamydiia; Parachlamydiales; Waddliaceae.
GCCCCCGUAGCUCAGUAGGAUAGAGCGGUCGCCUCCUAAGCGAUAGGUCGUGCGUUCGAAUCGCGCCGAGGGCA